CGGGGUGAGUAAUGUCUGGGAAACUGCCUGAUGGAGGGGGAUAACUGCUGGAAACGGUAGCUAAUACCGCAUAACGUCGCAAGACCAAAGAGGGGGACCUUCGGGCCUCUUGCCAUCGGAUGUGCCCAGAUGGGAUUAGCUAGUAGGUGGGGUAACGGCUCACCUAGGCGACGAUCCCUAGCUGGUCUGAGAGGAUGACCAGCCACACUGGAACUGAGACACGGCCCAG
This 229-nucleotide ribosomal RNA is filed under the name uncultured bacterium. RNAcentral describes it as "partial 16S ribosomal RNA". It matches the Rfam family "Bacterial small subunit ribosomal RNA", at positions 104 to 334 of the family's 1533-position model. The record is from RNAcentral.